AGCCCGGUGGUGUAGUGGUCAAUCAUGUAAGGCUCUGGACCUUACGACCGCGGUUCGAAUCCGUGCCGGGCUA
This is a transfer RNA of 73 nucleotides. It matches the Rfam family "tRNA". From Rfam's summary of the family: Transfer RNA (tRNA) molecules are approximately 80 nucleotides in length. Their secondary structure includes four short double-helical elements and three loops (D, anti-codon, and T loops). The record is from Rfam.